This 87-nucleotide microRNA precursor is filed under the name Tribolium castaneum (red flour beetle). Its description in RNAcentral is "microRNA tca-mir-252a precursor". Its record names the gene tca-mir-252a. The stretch from base 9 to 78 matches the Rfam family "mir-252 microRNA precursor family". The record is from miRBase by way of RNAcentral. Lineage: Eukaryota; Metazoa; Arthropoda; Insecta; Coleoptera; Tenebrionidae.
AAAGACUGUCCUGUUACUAAGUACUAGUGCCGCAGGAGUACAUUCGACCUCCUGCUGCUCAAGUGCUUAUCAAUGGGCACAGAAUGA